GUUGACCUCGGAUCAGGUAGGGAUACCCGCUGAACUUAAGCAUAUCAAUAAGCGGAGGAAAAGAAACCAACAGGGAUUGCCUCAGUAACGGCGAGUGAAGCGGCAACAGCUCAAAUUUGAAAUCUGGCUCUUUCAGGGUCCGAGUUGUAAUUUGUAGAGGAUGUUUCGGGUGUGGCUCCGGUCUAAGUUCCUUGGAACAGGACGUCAUAGAGGGUGAGAAUCCCGUAUGUGACUGGUAGCCUAUGCCCAUGUGAAACUCCUUCGACGAGUCGAGUUGUUUGGGAAUGCAGCUCAAAAUGGGUGGUAAAUUUCAUCUAAAGCUAAAUAUUGGCCAGAGACCGAUAGCGCACAAGUAGAGUGAUCGAAAGAUGAAAAGCACUUU
This 382-nucleotide ribosomal RNA is filed under the name Ceuthospora pinastri. RNAcentral describes it as "eukaryotic LSU rRNA". It matches the Rfam family "Eukaryotic large subunit ribosomal RNA", at positions 1 to 377 of the family's 3401-position model. Lineage: Eukaryota; Fungi; Ascomycota; Leotiomycetes; Phacidiales; Phacidiaceae. The record is from RNAcentral.